CCCUUAGAUGUCCUGGGCCGCACGCGCGCUACACUGACAUGUUCAACAAGCCUCCUAGUUCGACAGGAUUUGGGAAAUCUUUGAACGCAUGUCGUGAUAGGGAUAGAUCAUUGCAAUUAUUGAUCUUGAACGAGGAAUUCCUAGUAAACGCGAGUCAUCAGCUCGCAUUGAUUACGUCCCUGCCCUUUGUACACACCGCCCGUCGCACCUACCGAUUGAAUGUUUCGGUGAAGAUUCCGGAUAGGACUUUUUUGAUUUAUCUCAAUUUUGUCUUAAAAGCUAUCUAAACCUCAACAUUUAGAGGAAGGUGAAGUCGUAACA
RNAcentral lists this ribosomal RNA (321 nucleotides) under uncultured eukaryote. RNAcentral's name for it is "partial 18S ribosomal RNA". It matches the Rfam family "Eukaryotic small subunit ribosomal RNA", at positions 1470 to 1796 of the family's 1831-position model. The record is from RNAcentral.